ACACGCAUGACACACUGCAUAUCAAUAAGCGGAGGAAAAGAAACUAACAAGGAUUCCCUUAGUAACGGCGAGUGAAGCGGGAAGAGCUCAAAUUUGAAAUCUUAAAGGGUUUCCCUUGACGAAUUGUAGCUUAAAGAAGUGUUUUCUGUUGGAGUUUUCGGUAAAAGUUCUUUGGAAUAGGACAUCAUAGAGGGUGAGAAUCCCGUAUUUGACCGUUACUUUCCAGCUGUGUGAUACACUUUCAAAGAGUCGGAUUGUUUGGGAAUGCAGUCCAAAAUGGGUGGUAAAUUUCAUCUAAAGCUAAAUAUUGGCGAGAGACCGAUAGCGAACAAGUACCGUGAGGGAAAGAUGAAAAGAACUCUGAAAAGAGAGUUAAACAGUACGUGAAAUUGUCAAAAGGGAAGCGUUUGACACCAGUGUUGUUUAGUUGAAAAUCAAUUCAAUAAUUUUUGAUUUUAAGUAGUAUUGACUUCAUCAGCUUGCUGCUUUCUUUUCAGGAAUUAUUGAAUGCACUUUUCAGUUAACAAGUCAACAUCAAUUUCUUUUGUUGUAAAAGGGUAAGAGGAAGGUGGCUUACGCUUCGGCGUAAGUGUUUAUAGCCCUUUACCUCUGCAAUCGGAGAGAUUGAGGACAGCAGCGUAGACUCUUCGGGGUUAGAUACACUUGUGCUAAGCUAUAGCCUUGUAUAGACAACUUGUUGACUAUGCUCAGUCAUGUAGCUUACUCGCUUGUGCUAUUUUACCUACGCUUAGGAUGUUGAUCUACAGAGCGAGAGU
Molecule: ribosomal RNA, 776 nt
Filed under: uncultured Neocallimastigales
Lineage: Eukaryota; Fungi; Neocallimastigomycota; Neocallimastigomycetes; Neocallimastigales
Description: partial large subunit ribosomal RNA
Rfam family: Eukaryotic large subunit ribosomal RNA
Source: RNAcentral